GAUGAACGCUGGCGGCGUGCCUAAUACAUGCAAGUCGAGCGAAUGGAUUAAGAGCUUGCUCUUAUGAAGUUAGCGGCGGACGGGUGAGUAACACGUGGGUAACCUGCUCAUAAGACUGGGAUAACUCCGGGAAACCGGGGCUAAUACCGGAUAACAUUUUGAACCGCAUGGUUCGAAAUUGAAAGGCGGCUUCGGCUGUCACUUAUGGAUGGACCCGCGUCGCAUUAGCUAGUUGGUGAGGUAACGGCUAACCAAGCCAACGAUGCGUAGCCGACCUGAGUGGGUGAUAGGCCACAAUGGGACUGGGACACGGCCCAGACUCCUACGGGAGGAAGCAGUAGGGAAUCUUCCGCAAUGGACGAAAGUCUGACGGAGCAACGCCGCGUGAGUGAUGAAGGCUUUCGGGUCGUAAAACUCUGUUGUUAGGGAAGAACAAGUGCUAGUUGAAUAAGCUGGCACCUUGACGGUACCUAACCAGAAAGCCACGGCUAACUACGUGCCAGCCACCGCGGUAA
This 515-nucleotide ribosomal RNA is filed under the name uncultured bacterium. RNAcentral's name for it is "partial 16S ribosomal RNA". It matches the Rfam family "Bacterial small subunit ribosomal RNA", at positions 28 to 523 of the family's 1533-position model. The record is from RNAcentral.